AUUAAUGUAUUUUUAAAAUGUUGUCCUGGUUUUGUAACUAAAAUGGUUUGGCAGUGAGCGAUUCUUGUUAGGGGAAGAUGCAUAGUAAAGGAUGGUCCACCUAUUAUUUCACUCUUGUUAUGUUGGUGUAUAUCUGGUUUGAUAUUAUCGUUUAAUGGUUUGAGUUUGUGUAGUUUUAGUUAAGCCAAGUCUAUGUGCUGCUUAUGGGAGUUUUUGUGUGUUACAUUGAUAAGGGUGUUGUUGUAAUAUGAUAUUAUUUAGGACUUAAUAGUAAUGUUUAAAUUAGUUUGUUGAUGUGAAAUGAGUUUAGCUCA
This 314-nucleotide ribosomal RNA is filed under the name Echinococcus granulosus. RNAcentral's name for it is "partial 12S ribosomal RNA". The record is from RNAcentral. Lineage: Eukaryota; Metazoa; Platyhelminthes; Cestoda; Cyclophyllidea; Taeniidae.